GACGAACGCUGGCGGCGUGCUUAACACAUGCAAGUCGAGCGGAAAGGCCCUUCGGGGUACUCGAGCGGCGAACGGGUGAGUAACACGUGAGUAACCUGCCCUAGCCUUUGGGAUAACCCCGGGAAACCGGGGCUAAUACCUGCUAUGACCUGGUGCCUCAUGGUGUUGGGUGGAAAGUUUUUUCGGCCUGGGGUGGGCUCGCGGCCUAUCAGCUUGUUGGUGGGGUGGUGGCCUACCAAGGCGAUGACGGGUAGCCGGCCUGAGAGGGCGACCGGCCACACUGGGACUGAGACACGGCCCAGACUCCUACGGGAGGCAGCAGUGGGGAAUAUUGCACAAUGGGCGGAAGCCUGAUGCAGCGACGCCGUGUGAGGGAUGAAGGCCUUCGGGUUGUAACCCUCUUUCAGCAGGGACGAAGCGUGAGUGACGGUACCUGCAGAAGAAGCGCCGGCCAACUACGUG
Molecule: ribosomal RNA, 462 nt
Filed under: uncultured bacterium
Lineage: Bacteria
Description: partial 16S ribosomal RNA
Rfam family: Bacterial small subunit ribosomal RNA
Source: RNAcentral